RNAcentral lists this ribosomal RNA (253 nucleotides) under uncultured bacterium. Its description in RNAcentral is "partial 16S ribosomal RNA". It matches the Rfam family "Bacterial small subunit ribosomal RNA", at positions 524 to 776 of the family's 1533-position model. The record is from RNAcentral.
UACGGAGGGUGCAAGCGUUAUCCGGAUUUACUGGGUUUAAAGGGUGCGUAGGUGGGUAGAUAAGUCAGCGGUGAAAUCUCCGGGCUUAACUCGGAAACUGCCGUUGAUACUAUCUGUCUUGAAUAUCCUGGAGGUGAGCGGAAUAUGUCAUGUAGCGGUGAAAUGCUUAGAUAUGACAUAGAACACCCAUUGCGAAGGCAGCUCACUACGGGAUUAUUGACACUGAGGCACGAAAGCGUGGGGAUCAAACAGG